GUAAAUUCAGACCGUUUCGCUCUCGGAGCGCACACUGGACGUUCAGACCGAGGAGUACGGUUGAUUUGAGCGUUUACAACGGCAGUCAAGCACCAAAGCUAGCGUUGGCUAGCUACUCCCAGACACAAUUGAGACCACUCUGACCAUUUUACUCGCCCUAGUAGAGCUGGUAAGGCAGUUUUCGUGUUAACCAGAGCGUUGGUGACUGUAAAUGUGCUGCUGGAAACAAUUUAAUUACGCUUUUUUCCCCCGAUGUUUACUGACACCGGCCAACGGUUCCUACUCAGAGGAGAGUGCUCUGUAAUCCCUGUAGAUAGUAAACUGGACACAUUCAAUUUUUGACAAUGUUCUUUUCUGAUAAAAACGAGUUCAUUGCAUCCGCCGUGGAGCCCAGUUUCAUAAUAUGACCACAUUUUCCAGCUGCUUGCCGUCGUUAUGAAGUAAUCGUGAAAAAAACAUGCCUUAUUUUAGUGCAUUUUUCACCUUGUCAGCUCCUAUUAGUUCUUUUGAGCACCGUGGCACCAACUCGCCUUCCGAACGUUCUAUUCCCAGUUUAUUGUUCAACGUCACAAUGCCUGUUUCGCUAUUGUUGACAAUGAGACCUGCUCACGUUGUUUUAUAGUUAAAAUGUAACAAACAAAAAUAAUAUUGGAACUCUGCGGCCUUCCCGUUGUUUCCUAUGGGGGAAAUAUAGGCAUGUCUGUCUAUUUCGUCAAAUAUCUCGCAAUGUGUAUAUUUAGAUUUUUUAAAGUCGGGUGUAACCGGUGUGAAAUGGCUAGCUAGUUAGCGACACAAAGGAAGUCAAAGCGGACACCUACAAAGAUGGCAUCUCAGAGAGCGAGCUGAUCAAGGGGUUGAAAAUUUAGACAUUGCCAAAUGUUCACUGUCCGAGGAACAGGCCGUGGAAGCUUUAUUGCUGGCAAAAGUGUCCAUAACCAAAGGUUAUAUCAGCUGUUUUGGUGAACCCCUCCCGCAUCUGAACUGGCUGACACAGAGGGCAC
Molecule: long non-coding RNA, 1001 nt
Organism: Oncorhynchus gorbuscha (pink salmon)
Lineage: Eukaryota; Metazoa; Chordata; Actinopteri; Salmoniformes; Salmonidae
Exons: 3
Source: RefSeq, a predicted model, not a curated record